This is a transfer RNA of Hydnomerulius pinastri MD-312, 73 nucleotides long. It matches the Rfam family "tRNA". From Rfam's summary of the family: Transfer RNA (tRNA) molecules are approximately 80 nucleotides in length. Their secondary structure includes four short double-helical elements and three loops (D, anti-codon, and T loops). Lineage: Eukaryota; Fungi; Basidiomycota; Agaricomycetes; Boletales. The record is from Rfam.
GGUUCAAUGGUCUAGUGGUUAUGAUUUCUGUCUUACACACAGAAGGUCCCCAGUUCGAUCCUGGGUUGAGCCA